AUGUCGGUGCGUCCGAGCGAGCGGGCCGACGCGCGGCGGAACCGCUACAAGGUGACGGUGGACGCCGAUGAGGGGCGGCGGCGGCGCGAGGACAACAUGGUGGAGAUCCGCAAGAACCGCCGCGAGGAGAGCCUCCUCAAGAAGCGCCGCGAGGGGCUCCAGGCCCAGGCUCCUAUCCCUGCCGCCGGCGUCGAGAAGAAGCUUGAAAGCUUACCUGCUAUGGUUGGUGGGGUUUAUUCCGAGGAUAACAACCUGCAGCUUGAGGCAACGACACAAUUCCGCAAGUUGCUUUCUAUAGAAAGGAGCCCCCCAAUCGAAGAAGUUAUCCAAUCAGGCGUUGUUCCUCGAUUUGUGCAGUUUCUUACUAGAGAGGAUUUCCCCCAACUCCAGUUUGAAGCAGCGUGGGCACUCACAAACAUUGCGUCUGGCACAUCAGAGAAUACCAAGGUUGUCAUUGAUCAUGGGGCAGUUCCAAUAUUUGUGAAGCUUCUUGCAUCUGGCAGCGAUGAUGUUCGUGAGCAGGCUGUCUGGGCAUUGGGCAAUGUUGCUGGUGACUCCCCAAAGUGCCGCGACCUUGUACUCGCAAAUGGUGCAUUGAUGCCUCUGCUAGCACAGUUGAAUGAGCAUGCUAAACUCUCCAUGUUAAGGAAUGCGACCUGGACUUUAUCAAAUUUCUGCAGAGGAAAGCCACAGCCAGCAUUUGAUCAGACUAAGCCUGCUCUGCCAGCACUUGCACGACUUAUCCAUUCCAAUGAUGAGGAAGUUUUAACUGAUGCAUGCUGGGCUCUUUCGUAUCUCUCUGAUGGCACCAAUGACAAGAUCCAAUCUGUGAUUGAUGCUGGUGUCUGUCCCCGGCUUGUGGAGCUUCUCCUCCAUCCAUCACCUUCAGUGCUUAUACCUGCACUACGAACUGUUGGAAAUAUUGUCACAGGAGAUGACUCGCAAACUCAGUGCAUCAUUGAUCAUCAAGCUCUUGGGUGUCUCCUAAGUCUGUUGACACAAAAUCACAAGAAAAGCAUCAAGAAAGAGGCCUGCUGGACUGUUUCAAAUAUCACUGCUGGUAACAAAGAUCAGAUACAGGCUGUGAUUACUGCUGGGAUUAUUGGACCUCUGGUGCAUCUGCUGCAAACGGCUGAAUUCGAUAUCAAGAAGGAGGCUGCUUGGGCCAUCUCGAAUGCUACCUCCGGUGGUUCCCACGACCAAAUCAAGUAUUUGGUUAGCGAGGGCUGCAUCAAGCCACUGUGUGACCUCCUGCUUUGCCCAGAUCCAAGGAUUGUUACUGUUUGCUUGGAGGGUCUUGAGAACAUUCUCAAAGUUGGAGAAACUGAUAAGAAUUUGGGUGCUUCUGGGGAGGGGAAUGUCUAUGCGCAGAUGAUUGAUGAAGCAGAGGGCCUGGAAAAGAUUGAGAACCUGCAGAGCCAUGAUAACAAUGAAAUCUAUGAGAAGGCUGUGAAGAUUCUCGAGGCUUACUGGAUGGAGGAGGAAGAUGAUGCGAUGGGGGCAACUAUGGAAGCUCCCACAGGUGUUGCCUUUGACUUUGGCCAAGGUGGCAACCCUGAUCUGAACUUGGGCUGA
Molecule: ribosomal RNA, 1575 nt
Filed under: Triticum aestivum (bread wheat)
Lineage: Eukaryota; Viridiplantae; Streptophyta; Magnoliopsida; Poales; Poaceae
Description: partial small subunit ribosomal RNA
Source: RNAcentral